UCCCUCUUAGCUCAGUUGGUAGAGCGCGUCACUAGUAUUUGGUCAACAUCCACCAUCAUGACGAGGUCAGUCGUUCAAAUCGGCUAGCGGGAA
Molecule: non-coding RNA, 93 nt
Organism: Mycena latifolia
Lineage: Eukaryota; Fungi; Basidiomycota; Agaricomycetes; Agaricales; Mycenaceae
Source: the annotation of a GenBank genome assembly